GUGAAGGAUGGGCAUGCGUGAUAUUAGGUAGUUGGCGGGGCAACGGCCCACCAAGCCUACGAUAUCUAGGGGUUCUGAGAGGAAGCCCCCCCACAUUGGUACUGAGACACGGACCAAACUCCUACGGGAGGCAGCAGUGAGGAAUAUUGGUCAAUGGACGAGAGUCUGAACCAGCCAAGUCGCGUGAAGGAAGACGGAUUAUGGUUUGUAAACUUCUUUAGUGCGGGAACGUGUACCGCAAGAAUAAGCAUCGGCUAACUCCGUGCCAGCAGCCGCGGUAAUACGGAGGAUGCGAGCGUUAUCCGGAUUUAUUGGGUUUAAAGGGAGCGCAGGCUGCGAGGCAAGUCAGCGGUCAAAUGUCGGGGCUCAACCCCGGCCUGCCGUUGAAACUGUCCUGCUAGGUUCGAGUGAGGUAUGCGGAAUGCGUUGUGUAGCGGUGAAUGCAUAGAUAUGACGCAGAACUCCGAUUGCGAAGGCAGCAUACCAACUCGCGACUGACGCUGAGGCUCGAAAGCGUGGGUAUCGAACAGGAUUAGAUACCCUGGUAGUCCACGCAGUAAACGAUGAAUACUAACUGUUCGGGAGU
RNAcentral lists this ribosomal RNA (586 nucleotides) under uncultured bacterium. RNAcentral's name for it is "bacterial SSU rRNA". It matches the Rfam family "Bacterial small subunit ribosomal RNA", at positions 218 to 831 of the family's 1533-position model. The record is from RNAcentral.